RNAcentral lists this ribosomal RNA (619 nucleotides) under uncultured archaeon. RNAcentral describes it as "bacterial SSU rRNA". It matches the Rfam family "Archaeal small subunit ribosomal RNA", at positions 240 to 859 of the family's 1478-position model. The record is from RNAcentral.
GGUAAUGGCCCACCAAGCCGAUGAUCGGUACGGGUUGUGAGAGCAAGAGCCCGGAGAUGGAACCUGAGACAAGGUUCCAGACCCUACGGGGUGCAGCAGGCGCGAAACCUCCGCAAUGUACGAAAGUGCGACGGGGGGAUCCCAAGUGUCAUGCUUUUUUGUAUGACUUUUCAUUAGUGUAAAAAGCUUUUAGAGUAAGAGCUGGGCAAGACCGGUGCCAGCCGCCGCGGUAACACCGGCAGCUCGAGUGGUAGCUGUUUUUAUUGGGCCUAAAGCGUUCGUAGCCGGUUUGAUAAGUCUUUGGUGAAAGCUUGUAGCUUAACUAUAAGAGUUGCUGGAGAUACUAUUAGACUUGAAGUCGGGAGAGGUUAGAGGUACUACCGGGGUAGGGGUGAAAUCCUAUAAUCCUGGGAGGACCACCUGUGGCGAAGGCGUCUAACUGGAACGAUCUUGACGGUGAGUAACGAAAGCCAGGGGCGCGAACCGGAUUAGAUACCCGGGUAGUCCUGGCCGUAAACGAUGUGGACUUGGUGUUGGAAUGGCUUUGAGUUGUUCCGGUGCCGAAGGGAAGCUGUUAAGUCCACCGCCUGGGAAGUACGGUCGCAAGACUGAAACUUAA